This 55-nucleotide transfer RNA is filed under the name Chrysocoris stollii. Its description in RNAcentral is "tRNA-Ile". Lineage: Eukaryota; Metazoa; Arthropoda; Insecta; Hemiptera; Scutelleridae. The record is from RNAcentral.
AGUGCCUGAAUAAAGGGCUAUUUUGAUAGAAUAGAUCAAGUAUAAAUUAUACCUU